UAAAGUGGCGAACGGCUGAGUAACACGUGGGCAACCUGCCCUUUGCACUGGGAUAGCCUCGGGAAACCGAGGUUAAUACCGGAUACUCCAUAUUUGUCGCAUGGCGAAUAUGGGAAAGCUCCGGCGGCAAAGGAUGGGCCCGCGGCCUGUUAGCUAGUUGGUGGGGUAGUGGCCUACCAAGGCAAUGAUGGGUAGCCGGGUUGAGAGACUGAUCGGCCACAUUGGGACUGAGACACGGCCCAAACUCCUACGGGAGGCAGCAGGC
This 265-nucleotide ribosomal RNA is filed under the name uncultured Atopobium sp. RNAcentral describes it as "partial 16S ribosomal RNA". It matches the Rfam family "Bacterial small subunit ribosomal RNA", at positions 91 to 354 of the family's 1533-position model. The record is from RNAcentral. Lineage: Bacteria; Bacillati; Actinomycetota; Coriobacteriia; Coriobacteriales; Atopobiaceae.